Molecule: ribosomal RNA, 202 nt
Filed under: uncultured bacterium
Lineage: Bacteria
Description: partial 16S ribosomal RNA
Rfam family: Bacterial small subunit ribosomal RNA
Source: RNAcentral
UUGCAGGCUGCAACCCGCCUGCAUGAAGUCGGAAUUGCUAGUAAUCGCGGAUCAGCAUGCCGCGGUGAAUACGUUCCCGGGCCUUGUACACACCGCCCGUCACACCAUGGGAGCCGGUAAUACCCGAAGUCAGUAGUCCAACCUCGUGAGGACGCUGCCGAAGGUAGGAUUGGCGACUGGGGUGAAGUCGUAACAAGGUAAC